Molecule: ribosomal RNA, 440 nt
Filed under: uncultured bacterium
Lineage: Bacteria
Description: partial 16S ribosomal RNA
Rfam family: Bacterial small subunit ribosomal RNA
Source: RNAcentral
CCUACGUGAGGCUGCAGUGGGGGAUAUUGCACAAUGGGGGAAACCCUGAUGCAGCGACGCCGCGUGUGGGAAGACGGUCCUCUGGAUUGUAAACCACUGUCCCCAGGGACGAAGAUGACGGUACCUGGGGAGGAAGCUCCGGCUAACUACGUGUCAGCAGCCGCGGUAAUACGUAGGGAGCGAGCGUUGUCCGGAAUUACUGGGUGUAAAGGGAGCGUAGGCGGGACUGCAAGUUGGGUGUCAAAUCUACCGGCUCAACCGGUAGCCGCACUCAAAACUGCAGUUCUUGAGUGAAGUAGAGGCAGGCGGAAUUCCUAGUGUAGCGGUGAAAUGCGUAGAUAUUAGGAGGAACACCAGUGGCGAAGGCGGCCUGCUGGGCUUUUACUGACGCUGAGGCUCGAAAGUGUGGGGAGCAAACAGGAUUAGAUACCCUUGUAGUC